Molecule: long non-coding RNA, 1260 nt
Organism: Brassica napus (rape)
Lineage: Eukaryota; Viridiplantae; Streptophyta; Magnoliopsida; Brassicales; Brassicaceae
Exons: 3
Source: RefSeq, a predicted model, not a curated record
CCUGCCCAUAAUUACCACAGAGCUAUCUAUUUAUAUGACACAUACUAUUAUUAGUAUUUUUUUAGAGGACUAAGUAGUUUCUUGUUUACCAUGGUUGGUGCUGGUUCCAAUGCUAUUCUUGCCCGUGUUAUGAUGCCAAACUGACCUAACCCACCAAGAACUCCAUGGAACAGGUCGCUGUUCUGCCUCUCUGAACAGUUUAAAAUCUCACCUUUUCCUGCAACAACCUUUUUAUUGAUGAACAUUGCUGAUCUGCGGCCCGUGUCGGAAUGCCUGGCCGCUGAUUCCAGCAUUGGACAGAGUACCACCUACAGUUAAAUGUAGGUAGUCCGUCCAUGAUUUUGGUGCAAGCCCGUACUUUAGGGUCUCGUGCAAAAUGUUUAUCCAAAGCUCACCACCAGACACGUCAACAAACGGAGUAGUACCACCACCAACGCCGUGGACCUUCAGCUUCUGGGGCUGUAGUGAUUCCAUGUGGAUAACAAUUCCAUGUCUAGUCUGUGCUUGGCCUUGGAGUGAAUGUCCACGGCCUCUCGCUGCAACCGUGAGCUGCGAAUGAGGUCCCAUCAUCCAGAUGUGUCGUAUCACCGAGGCGAUGUCGCUUACGGAUUUGGGAUGCAAGACCGCCAAAGGAAGCAGCUGGUACCGGUUUCCAAAAUCUUUGGAGGCGGGAUGGACAUCUUCGAACUCCAAGUGGCCUAGUAGGGGAAGGGCUUUCAACGAAGAGAUGCUGUUAGAGAAGCAGCAAGCUAACUUAAAGGCUAUGCAGCUGAGUAGUAGUAAGGCUUUUGACUCGGAUGAAACGCAAAAGGAUUGGUCUCUGAGAAAAAAGAAUGGCAUAUCACUGAACUGAAGGAGGGGUCAGCAGACGUGGAACGAAAGAAAUCCUUGUGGGAAAAUGAGGAGGCAAUGAUGGGACACGACAACACAAUCCUUGUAAGGCAAAAAAAAAAACUGAACGACAGCACAAACCAAAGCAACCAAUGAGUAAGUCUUUCUGUUACUGAUUUACGGCCUCCUCUUGCAGCUAGCUGACAAAAAUAAAACACUGACUGAAUCAUCUCUUGUAUUCAUAAAUUCUUGUGAUUGACAUUAUGAUGAGAUUAGCUUUAGAUUUUGUUUAAUUUACUUUUGCUAAACAUCCGGCAUGUGGAUAACAGAGAGGGACUCAGUGCUUCCUCAAACAUAAUCAUCUCGGAUAAUCUCAUUUUAUUUGUCUUUUGUUGGGGGGUUAAUUUGUCCCAUUUGUUUUAAUUAUUA